RNAcentral lists this ribosomal RNA (444 nucleotides) under Triticum aestivum (bread wheat). Its description in RNAcentral is "partial small subunit ribosomal RNA". Lineage: Eukaryota; Viridiplantae; Streptophyta; Magnoliopsida; Poales; Poaceae. The record is from RNAcentral.
AUGGCGUGCGAUCCUAACGAGCUAGCGGCUCCGCCGAUCGAACUUGCAGUUGCCAGACACGCGCGGCGGCACGGCGGCGACAGGCGAGGGCGCGGAUAUCGUUCUCGAGUACGAGAUCACUCUCGACCACCUGACGUUCCUCAAGGUGGUGAACUUCCCAGGGAGGAGGCCCGAGCUGCGGCUGCUAAGGUUUGUCCUGCGCAGGGCUCCUGUCCUCGAGCUGUCGAGCAGCUGGUGCUCGUCACCCCGGAAGACGUGGGAACUCCGGGAGACCAUGAACACCAGGACAACGUCCGCCUGCUCCUUAAGGUCGUCCAAGAGCAUGUGUCAGAGAUCAGCAAGGCGUGGCUCUGGCAGGAGCCCCGCGUCACCGUGUGCCGGCCGAGGGAGGACGACAGCCGGAGCCCUGCACACACCAAGUACUACCACCAUGACCAGGCGUAG